GACGAACGCUGGCGGCGUGCUUAACACAUGCAAGUCGAACGGAAAGGCCCUGCUUUUGUGGGGGGCUCGAGUGGCGAAAGGGUGAGUAACACGUGAGUAACCUGCCCUUGACUUUGGGAUAACUUCAGGAAACUGGGGCUAAUACCGGAUAGGAGCUGCUGCUGCAUGGUGGGGGUUGGAAAGUUUCGGCGGUUGGGGAUGGAUUCGCGGCUUAUCAGCUUGUUGGUGGGGUAGUGGCUUACCACGGCUUUGACGGGUAGCCGGCCUGAGAGGGUGACCGGCCACAUUGGGACUGAGAUACGGCCCAGACUCCUACGGGAGGCAGCAGUGGGGAAUAUUGCACAAUGGGCGGAAGCCUGAUGCAGCAACGCCGCGUGCGGGAUGACGGCCUUCGGGUUGUAAACCGCUUUCGCCUGUUACGAAGCGUGAGUGACGGUAAUGGGUAAAGAAGCACCGGCUAACUACGUG
This 468-nucleotide ribosomal RNA is filed under the name uncultured bacterium. Its description in RNAcentral is "partial 16S ribosomal RNA". It matches the Rfam family "Bacterial small subunit ribosomal RNA", at positions 28 to 507 of the family's 1533-position model. The record is from RNAcentral.